CCUCCGAUAGCUCAGUUGGCAGAGCGGUGGACUGUAGUGAUUGACAGAGAAAUCCAUAGGUCGCUGGUUCAAAUCCGGCUCGGAGGA
RNAcentral lists this transfer RNA (87 nucleotides) under Trichuris muris. RNAcentral's name for it is "snRNA TMUE_0100000282". It matches the Rfam family "tRNA". Rfam says of the family: Transfer RNA (tRNA) molecules are approximately 80 nucleotides in length. Their secondary structure includes four short double-helical elements and three loops (D, anti-codon, and T loops). Further hydrogen bonds mediate the characteristic L-shaped molecular structure. tRNAs have two regions of fundamental functional importance: the anti-codon, which is responsible for specific mRNA codon recognition, and the 3' end, to which the tRNAs corresponding amino acid is attached (by aminoacyl-tRNA synthetases). tRNAs cope with the degeneracy of the genetic code in two manners: having more than one tRNA (with a specific anti-codon) for a particular amino acid; and 'wobble' base-pairing, i.e. permitting non-standard base-pairing at the 3rd anti-codon position. The record is from RNAcentral. Lineage: Eukaryota; Metazoa; Nematoda; Enoplea; Trichinellida; Trichuridae.